Molecule: non-coding RNA, 46 nt
Organism: Xenopus tropicalis (tropical clawed frog)
Lineage: Eukaryota; Metazoa; Chordata; Amphibia; Anura; Pipidae
Source: Rfam
ACAAAGGCUCUUUUCAGAGCCGCCCAAAACUUCUCAAAAGUGUUUG